UCCUACGACAACAGUUCUAAACUAACACAAUUAUACAUAGGCAACAUACUAAAUGUUGCUAAUUAUCAGCUACAACUUUACAUUGUUGCAUAAAAUUAACUCCACAUACAACAAUUUAUAAUAAUAUUGAGAGAGAGAGAGAGAGAGAGAGAGAUACCAGAACAAUAGACAUGUGUAGGAGAGCAGCUGUGGUCCAACAACAAUGGAAGCAGCUUCACUGACAACUCGACCAGUAAGCCAAGGAAUCUCACAGCCAUAGAAAAAAGCUGCUAUGCAAUUCCCACAUGCUAUGAUCUUUAGUUCCAAACUUGAAAUCUAUGUACAAGCAUGUCAUUUAGCAUUUCAGAGUCCACAUGCUAGCUGAAAAGGGCAACAAUUAGUACAAAUACUCUACAGAGACCAACAUUACAUGUGAGGGAUGUGGCUCACCUCUUUGGGAAAACAAUCAGCAUUAUUGUACCUAGUUUGGAAGAAGGUUCAUCACGUGUUUUUCUUUUGCAGCUUCCUCCUUAAUGACUGGAAAAGUACAUAGCUGAAUUAAAUGACUCAUAAUUUGGAUACCAAUUAAGCAUGCUAGCUUUCUACAAAAAUGGUAAAGAGAACUCAUAAGAAUUUUGGCACUUUAACAUAUUCAUUCCUGAGAAAAUUGAUCAAAGUAACAGUUCUCACUCCUCAAAGAGAAUCGUUAGUCACUGAAAAAACCUAAAAUCAUACCAAUUGAAUUGAAUCACUGAUAAAACCUAAAAUCGAACAAUCUAUUGAAUCAAUAAUGAAUUAAUUACCUCCAUAUUUUAGUUGAAUUGCAGAUUUUGAACGCAACGGUUAUGAAUUGUUGUCACUUUGCUUAGAUUUCCAUUAGGUAAAACUGAAAACACAUUCAAUGAAUUGGAAAUAGAAAUCAUGAUCAUGGGAAAGAAGAAUAGCCAGGCUGAUAGCUUCAGGGGUAUGGUCCAGUGGAAGAAGUUGGUGCAGAGUUGAACGUGCUACCAGUAGAGUUGUCGAGACCUUAUGAUGUGUACAUAGUGACUUACUGAUGGAGAAGCGAUUAAACAUGGAGUAUGAUUGCUCAUAUUUUGUAGUCUUCUCUUAUAUUGCUUCUCAAAUCAUUGUGUGAAGGUCUUCUUUAGGUUGGAGUGGGUGUGCUUUGGGUAGUUUGGCUGUUGAGGUUUUUGUGGAGUGGUGGUGUGUGCUUUGGGGUUUGUCUAAUUGUUGUGAGGGCUUCUUUUCAUCUAUGGUGCGC
RNAcentral lists this long non-coding RNA (1240 nucleotides) under Lotus japonicus. Its description in RNAcentral is "long non-coding RNA (LJAP_LNC001403)". The record is from RNAcentral. Lineage: Eukaryota; Viridiplantae; Streptophyta; Magnoliopsida; Fabales; Fabaceae.